RNAcentral lists this small RNA (170 nucleotides) under Actinomycetota bacterium. RNAcentral describes it as "Actinobacteria bacterium c-di-AMP sequence". It matches the Rfam family "c-di-AMP riboswitch aptamer (ydaO/yuaA leader)". From Rfam's summary of the family: This family represents a conserved RNA structure found upstream of the ydaO and yuaA genes in Bacillus subtilis and related genes in other bacteria. The ydaO/yuaA element is thought to act as a genetic "off" switch for the ydaO and yuaA genes in its native state. It is believed that the element may be triggered during osmotic shock leading to activation of ydaO, a predicted amino acid transporter gene, and members of the yuaA-yubG operon which code for KtrA and KtrB K+ transporters. The record is from RNAcentral. Lineage: Bacteria; Bacillati; Actinomycetota.
UCGCGUCAAGCGCCGAAGGCAGGAGCGGGGGAACCAAGGUAGGCGCCGGGACCGGCCGUUGAGAGACGGACGGGAACGGCUAGGGGUUAAGUCGUGCGCCACGACGCACGGCCGGGCACUCAUCCGCCCGAACCCGACAGCUCACCUCGCAGGCGUCGGUGAGGAGAACU